RNAcentral lists this ribosomal RNA (460 nucleotides) under uncultured bacterium. RNAcentral's name for it is "partial 16S ribosomal RNA". It matches the Rfam family "Bacterial small subunit ribosomal RNA", at positions 338 to 795 of the family's 1533-position model. The record is from RNAcentral.
CCUACGGGAGGCAGCAGUGAGGAAUAUUGGUCAAUGGACGCGAGUCUGAACCAGCCAAGUAGCGUGAAGGAUGACUGCCCUAUGGGUUGUAAACUUCUUUUAUAUGGGAAUAAAACGUUCCACGUGUGGGAUUUUGUAUGUACCAUAUGAAUAAGGAUCGGCUAACUCCGUGCCAGCAGCCGCGGUAAUACGGAGGAUCCGAGCGUUAUCCGGAUUUAUUGGGGUUAAAGGGAGCGUAGGUGGAUUGUUAAGUCAGUUGUGAAAGUUUGCGGCUCAACCGUAAAAUUGCAGUUGAAACUGGCAGUCUUGAGUACAGUAGAGGUGGGCAGAAUUCGUGGUGUAGCGGUGAAAUGCUUAGAUAUCACGAAGAACUCCGAUUGCGAAGGCAGUUCACUGGACUGCAACUGACACUGAGGCGCGAAAGUGUGGGUAUCAAACAGGAUUAGAUACCCUUGUAGUC